UGAUGGCACAAUAAAAAAAAAAAAAAAAAAGCAUGACUGAAGAUGUUACAAGUCGUUCUGAUGAGAGCGUGAUAGCAGAUGUCCUCCUGCCCGUGGCGCCAGAUUAAAUAAAGGUUCCCGUCUUGAAUUGCUCCGUUGUGGUUGUUCGGUUUUACUUACGGAGAGCAUCUGAAGGCUCCUUCCCCUGCUGAUCGUCGUCAUCGUCAUCCUCACCUCCGCCGCCAGUGAGCUGGUUAACAUUCCAGUCCUCCUAAUCUCUCUUUAAGACUGACAGGGCUUUUCGCACAAAUGAAAGAGCAAGCUAAGCAUAAAGAAAAUUAGCGAGCCGUAGUGAUGAUGUUCUGAAAAAAACUGGACUCUCUGUGGCUCCACUUCCUGGUUGUUUUAUUGACAAGAGAAAGCUCUGCACACCGUUGGCCCCUCCAGUAACCGUGAUACCAGUAAGCCAACUACUCUGCGACUGGUGAAAGAGGACAAUCCCAGACUGGCAUGCCGUCCCUCUGCACCAAGGUCAGGCUCAAAGUGAAAGGCGAUCGCGGUUUCACUCUCAUUGUUCAGGCUCCAGCAAAGCUAAAUCGUAUAAAGAACACCCUGAAACUACUUUCUUUCUUUGGCUUCUACUUAUUUUCAGAUAAUUCUAGCCUCAGUCGACCUCCUCUUCAUCCUUUAGCCCCUGGUAAAAAUGUAAUCUGACUAAAAGCGUAAGAGAAAAAUACAACAAAAGACAGAUCUGUGUUCUCCAGCUGAACCAACCAGCCAUUUUUUUUUGUUUUUAUUUCACAACGACACAUUGGACAGGUCCUGUAGAUAUAUAUAUGAAUAUAUCAAAAACACAUCAGCUGACGUGUCAUAUCUAAAAUAAUAAUAAAAAAAAAACACUUGUUUUCAAUUUGCACAUAGAGCUCAAGUCAUAAAA
Molecule: long non-coding RNA, 916 nt
Organism: Mugil cephalus (flathead mullet)
Lineage: Eukaryota; Metazoa; Chordata; Actinopteri; Mugiliformes; Mugilidae
Exons: 4
Source: RefSeq, a predicted model, not a curated record